RNAcentral lists this ribosomal RNA (249 nucleotides) under Triticum aestivum (bread wheat). Its description in RNAcentral is "partial small subunit ribosomal RNA". Lineage: Eukaryota; Viridiplantae; Streptophyta; Magnoliopsida; Poales; Poaceae. The record is from RNAcentral.
AUGAAUUUGACCUUUGCGGCUGGAGCCAUGCCCUUGGUAGAUGACCUCUUGAUAGUAUUUAACGCAGAAGAAACUGGGUCUCCCGGUACCAGCGGUGAUUUUGAUCUCGGAAUAGAAAAUCUCCUCAGCCUCGUUAAAAUCAGAUGUGUAGUAUGGGGAGACGAGGACGACAGAGUUGAGGCUGCAGAAGCUGCCAUUCGGGAAGCAGCCAACGCACAUCCCAACCGCCCUACUCUACGCUUGGACUGA